Molecule: ribosomal RNA, 744 nt
Filed under: uncultured bacterium
Lineage: Bacteria
Description: bacterial SSU rRNA
Rfam family: Bacterial small subunit ribosomal RNA
Source: RNAcentral
AGAGUUUGAUCAUGGCUCAGAGCGAACGCUGGCGGCAGGCUUAACACAUGCAAGUCGAGCGGGCGUAGCAAUACGUCAGCGGCAGACGGGUGAGUAACGCGUGGGAACGUACCUUUUGGUUCGGAACAACACAGGGAAACUUGUGCUAAUACCGGAUAAGCCCUUACGGGGAAAGAUUUAUCGCCGAAAGAUCGGCCCGCGUCUGAUUAGCUAGUUGGUGAGGUAACGGCUCACCAAGGCGACGAUCAGUAGCUGGUCUGAGAGGAUGAUCAGCCACAUUGGGACUGAGACACGGCCCAAACUCCUACGGGAGGCAGCAGUGGGGAAUAUUGGACAAUGGGCGCAAGCCUGAUCCAGCCAUGCCGCGUGAGUGAUGAAGGCCCUAGGGUUGUAAAGCUCUUUUGUGCGGGAAGAUAAUGACGGUACCGCAAGAAUAAGCCCCGGCUAACUUCGUGCCAGCAGCCGCGGUAAUACGAAGGGGGCUAGCGUUGCUCGGAAUCACUGGGCGUAAAGGGUGCGUAGGCGGGUCUUUAAGUCAGGGGUGAAAUCCUGGAGCUCAACUCCAGAACUGCCUUUGAUACUGAAGAUCUUGAGUUCGGGAGAGGUGAGUGGAACUGCGAGUGUAGAGGUGAAAUUCGUAGAUAUUCGCAAGAACACCAGUGGCGAAGGCGGCUCACUGGCCCGAUACUGACGCUGAGGCACGAAAGCGUGGGGAGCAAACAGGAUUAGAUACCCCCGUAGUCC